UACGAAGGGGGCUAGCGUUGUUCGGAUUUACUGGGCGUAAAGCGCACGUAGGCGGAUUGUUAAGUCGGGGGUGAAAUCCUGGAGCUUAACUCCAGAAUUGCCUUCGAUACUGGCUUUCUAGAGGCUGGAAGAGGUUAGUGGAAUUCCCAGUGUAGAGGUGAAAUUCGUAGAUAUUGGGAAGAACACCAGUGGCGAAGGCGGCUAACUGGUCCAGAUCUGACGCUGAGGUGCGAAAGCGUGGGGAGCAAACAGG
Molecule: ribosomal RNA, 253 nt
Filed under: uncultured bacterium
Lineage: Bacteria
Description: partial 16S ribosomal RNA
Rfam family: Bacterial small subunit ribosomal RNA
Source: RNAcentral